AUAGUACUGUUUCCUCUGCGGCGGAACGCUGCAGUAAGAAUGUCUUUCCCCCCUCAUUUGAAUCGCCCUCCCAUGGGAAUCCCAGCACUUCCACCAGGGAUUCCACCCCCACAGUUUCCUGGUUUUCCUCCACCUGUACCGCCAGGAACUCCAAUGAUUCCUGUACCAAUGAGCAUUAUGGCUCCUGCUCCAACUGUCUUAGUGCCCACAGUAUCCAUGGUUGGAAAGCAUUUGGGAGCCAGAAAGGACCAUCCGGGCUUAAAGAGUAAAGAAAAUGAUGAAAAUUGUGGUCCCACUACUACAGUUUUUGUUGGAAACAUUUCUGAGAAAGCUUCAGACAUGCUUAUAAGACAGCUCCUAGCUAAAUGUGGUCUGGUUUUAAGCUGGAAGAGGGUACAGGGUGCUUCUGGAAAACUUCAAGCCUUUGGAUUCUGUGAGUAUAAGGAGCCUGAAUCUACCCUCCGUGCACUCAGGUUAUUACAUGACCUGCAGAUUGGAGAGAAGAAGCUGCUUGUUAAAGUUGAUGCAAAGACAAAGGCACAGCUUGAUGAAUGGAAAGCAAAGAAGAAAGCCUCAAAUGGGAACGCCAGACCAGAGACCGUCACUACUGAUGAUGAAGAAGCCUUAGAUGAAGAAACAAAAAGAAGAGAUCAGAUGAUUAAAGGGGCCAUUGAAGUAUUAAUACGCGAAUACUCCAGUGAGCUCAAUGCCCCUUCACAGGAGUCUGAUGCUCAUCCUAGGAAGAAAAAGAAAGAAAAGAAAGAAGACAUUUUUCGCAGAUUUCCAGUGGCCCCAUUGAUUCCUUACCCACUCAUCACUAAGGAGGAUAUAAAUGCUAUAGAAAUGGAAGAGGACAAAAGAGAUCUGAUAUCCCGAGAGAUCAGCAAAUUCAGAGACACACACAAGAAACUGGAAGAAGAGAAAGGCAAAAAGGAGAAAGAAAGACAGGAAAUUGAGAAAGAACGGAGAGAAAGAGAGAGGGAGCGUGAAAGGGAACGAGAAAGGCGAGAACGGGAACGAGAAAGGGAAAGAGAACGUGAACGAGAAAAAGAGAAGGAACGGGAGCGGGAACGCGAGCGGGAUAGGGAUCGCGACCGGACAAAGGAGCGAGAACGCGAUCGAGACCGGGACCGCGAGCGUGACCGAGACCGAGAACGGAGCUCUGAUCGGAAUAAGGAUCGGAGUCGAUCAAGAGAGAAGAGCCGAGACCGUGAACGGGAGCGAGAGCGAGAAAGAGAGCGAGAGCGAGAACGGGAAAGAGAGCGAGAGCGUGAGAGAGAGCGAGAGAGGGAACGGGAGCGCGAGAGAGAGAAAGACAAGAAACGUGACCGAGAGGAGGAUGAAGAAGAUGCAUAUGAAAGGAGAAAGCUGGAAAGAAAACUCCGAGAGAAGGAAGCUGCUUAUCAAGAGCGGCUUAAGAACUGGGAAAUCCGUGAACGAAAGAAAACCCGGGAAUAUGAAAAAGAAGCUGAACGAGAAGAAGAAAGGAGGAGAGAGAUGGCAAAAGAAGCUAAGCGAUUGAAAGAAUUCUUAGAAGAUUAUGAUGAUGAUAGAGAUGAUCCCAAGUAUUACAGGGGAAGUGCUCUUCAGAAAAGAUUGCGUGACAGGGAAAAGGAAAUGGAAGCAGAUGAACGUGAUAGGAAGAGAGAGAAGGAAGAACUGGAGGAAAUUAGGCAGCGUCUUCUGGCAGAAGGACACCCAGACCCAGAUGCAGAGCUCCAAAGGAUGGAGCAAGAGGCUGAGAGACGUAGACAACCACAAAUAAAGCAAGAACCAGAAUCAGAGGAAGAGGAGGAAGACGAGAAGAGCCUGUAGAAGAGGAAGAGGAACCAGAGCAGAAGCCUUGUCUGAAACCCACUCUGAGACCCAUCAGCUCUGCUCCAUCCGUUUCCUCUGCCAGUGGCAAUGCAACCCCCAACACACCUGCGGAUGAUUCUCCCUGCGGUAUUAUUAUUCCUCAUGAAAACUCACCUGAUCAACAACAGCCUGAAGAACAUAGGCCAAAAAUAGGACUUAGUCUUAAACUGGGUGCUUCCAAUAGUCCUGGCCAACCUAAUUCUGUGAAGAGAAAGAAGCUACCUGUAGAUAGUGUCUUUAACAAAUUUGAGGAUGAAGACAGUGACGAUGUACCCCGAAAAAGGAAACUGGUUCCUUUGGACUAUGGUGAAGAUGAUAAAAAUGCUGCCAAAGGCACAGUGAACACAGAAGAAAAGCGCAAGCACAUUAAAAGCCUCAUUGAGAAAAUUCCCACGGCCAAACCUGAGCUCUUUGCCUAUCCCCUUGAUUGGUCCAUUGUGGACUCAAUAUUGAUGGAACGCCGAAUUAGACCAUGGAUUAAUAAGAAAAUUAUAGAAUACAUAGGUGAAGAAGAAGCUACAUUAGUUGAUUUUGUUUGUUCUAAGGUUAUGGCUCAUAGUUCACCUCAGAGCAUUUUAGAUGAUGUAGCCAUGGUACUUGAUGAAGAAGCCGAAGUUUUUAUAGUCAAAAUGUGGAGACUAUUGAUAUAUGAAACAGAAGCUAAGAAAAUUGGUCUUGUGAAGUAAAACUGUUUUUAGUCUUCUCUUUGAUACUUCUUUCCCACCAUUCAGAGGACUUCGAAUUUUUCUUUGUCCUCAAAGACAUUUGUGAAAUCUGUAAUUUUUUUUCCAAUGUAGAAAAUGUGAAUUUUGUUUUGUCCUCCAAUUUGGUGAUGCCCCUGUGUACUCCCUUGGUUGUAAAUUCAUCUGAGUCUUAUCUUGGUUUUCUUUAUACUCACCAGGUACAAUUACUGGUAUGUUUUAUAAGCCGCAGCUACUGUACACAGCUAUCUGAUAUAAUCUUGUUCUGCUGAUUUGUUUUUGUAAAUAUUAAAAUGACUCCCCAAUUCUUUUGCAGAAUUGCACUUAAUAUUGAGCUGUACUGUUCAGGAAUGAACAGAAAUGAUUUUCAUUGAAAGAAUACCAGUCACAACUCUUCCCCCCUUUUAAUCAGAAAUAGCAAGUCCUCAUUGAAGGUGUGGAAUUUAAAAUUAGAAUUUAAGAAUUAGUGGACAAUCCAUUCCAUCUUUACUCCUGUAUGAAAGCGUUUGUGUGAUUGUGCAAAAGAUUUCUUUUCCCUCAAUUUGCUCUUUUG
Elephantulus edwardii (Cape elephant shrew) is the source of this 3111-nucleotide RNA transcript. It is a transcript of the gene named RNA-binding protein 25-like, with no coding region annotated. Lineage: Eukaryota; Metazoa; Chordata; Mammalia; Macroscelidea; Macroscelididae. The transcript is spliced from 18 exons. The record is from RefSeq and is a predicted model, not a curated record.